RNAcentral lists this ribosomal RNA (269 nucleotides) under uncultured Burkholderiales bacterium. RNAcentral describes it as "partial 16S ribosomal RNA". It matches the Rfam family "Bacterial small subunit ribosomal RNA", at positions 534 to 802 of the family's 1533-position model. The record is from RNAcentral. Lineage: Bacteria; Pseudomonadati; Pseudomonadota; Betaproteobacteria; Burkholderiales.
GCAAGCGUUAAUCGGAAUUACUGGGCGUAAAGCGUGCGCAGGCGGUUUUGUAAGACAGUGGUGAAAUCCCCGGGCUCAACCUGGGAACUGCCAUUGUGACUGCAAGGCUAGAGUGCGGCAGAGGGGGAUGGAAUUCCGCGUGUAGCAGUGAAAUGCGUAGAUAUGCGGAGGAACACCGAUGGCGAAGGCAAUCCCCUGGGCCUGCACUGACGCUCAUGCACGAAAGCGUGGGGAGCAAACAGGAUUAGAUACCCUGGUAGUCAAGGGCG